RNAcentral lists this unclassified non-coding RNA (303 nucleotides) under Hevea brasiliensis (rubber tree). The record is from RNAcentral. Lineage: Eukaryota; Viridiplantae; Streptophyta; Magnoliopsida; Malpighiales; Euphorbiaceae.
CACGUUUAAGGUCAGGUCUUAAGUAAUUAAUCCAUCGGAGACGACAACUUUUACCGCAUCGAAGAAGUCCAGCAGCUUUAGGAAGAGACCUCCAACAACCUUCACCAUUAGCUCUAAUGUAAGAAAUUAGUCUUUCAUCUUCUUCUUUAGUCCAUGCUCCUUUGUUUGUAUGUGCCUUCUCACAACAAGGUGACCUUCCCAUUUAGACAAAUAAGAGUAUUUAAGAAACUAUACCUUUAUUUUUUUUGGUUUUUGCAAGUGUGAUAUACCAAUUGAGAGAAGGAUAAUGGAAGUUUUUUUUGG